GAUGAACGCUGGCGGCGUGCCUAAUACAUGCAAGUCGAGCGAACGGACGAGAAGCUUGCUUCUCUGAUGUUAGCGGCGGACGGGUGAGUAACACGUGGAUAACCUACCUAUAAGACUGGGAUAACUUCGGGAAACCGGAGCUAAUACCGGAUAAUAUUUUGAACCGCAUGGUUCAAAAGUAAAAGACGGUCUUGCUGUCACUUAUAGAUGGAUCCGCGCUGCAUUAGCUAGUUGGUAAGGUAACGGCUUACCAAGGCAACGAUGCAUAGCCGACCUGAGAGGGUGAGCGGCCACACUGGAACUGAGACACGGUCCAGACUCCUACGGGAGGCAGCAGUAGGGAAUCUACCACAAUGGGCGAAAGCCUGACGGAGCAACGCCGCGUGAGUGAUGAAGGUCUUCGGAUCGUAAAACUCUGUUAUUAGGGAAGAACAUAUGUGUAAAUAACUGUGCACAUCUUGACGGUACCUAGUCAGAAAGCCACGGCUAACUACGUG
RNAcentral lists this ribosomal RNA (497 nucleotides) under uncultured bacterium. Its description in RNAcentral is "partial 16S ribosomal RNA". It matches the Rfam family "Bacterial small subunit ribosomal RNA", at positions 28 to 507 of the family's 1533-position model. The record is from RNAcentral.